AUUGAACGCUGGCGGCAUGCUUUACACAUGCAAGUCGAACGGUAACAGGCCUUCGGGUGCUGACGAGUGGCGAACGGGUGAGUAAUGCAUCGGAACGUACCCAGAGGUGGGGGAGAACGCAGCGAAAGCUGUGCUAAUACCGCAUGUGAUCUGAGGAUGAAAGCGGGGGACCGAGCAGCAAUGUUUGGCCUCGCGCCUUUGGAGCGGCCGAUGUCGGAUUAGCUAGUUGGUGGGGUAAAGGCCUACCAAGGCGACGAUCCGUAGCUGGUCUGAGAGGACGACCAGCCACACUGGGACUGAGACACGGCCCAGAGUCCUACGGGAGGCAGCAGUGGGGAAUUUUGGACGAUGGGCGAAAGCCUGAUCCAGCAAUGCCGCGUGCGGGAAGAAGGCCUUCGGGUUGUAAACCGCUUUUGGCAGGAACGAAACGGUGUCCGCUAAUACCGGGCGCUAAUGACGGUACCUGCAGAAUAAGCACCGGCGAACUACGUG
Molecule: ribosomal RNA, 492 nt
Filed under: uncultured bacterium
Lineage: Bacteria
Description: partial 16S ribosomal RNA
Rfam family: Bacterial small subunit ribosomal RNA
Source: RNAcentral